This is a long non-coding RNA of Arabidopsis thaliana (thale cress), 540 nucleotides long. RefSeq annotates it as other RNA. The record is from RefSeq. The transcript has a single exon. NCBI's taxonomy places the organism in Eukaryota, Viridiplantae, Streptophyta, Magnoliopsida, Brassicales, Brassicaceae.
UGAAACCUUCUUCCCCUGAGCUACUAGAUUCAGAGUUGCAUCAAACUUCCUCCCAAACAUGACAUCAGUCCUCUAAUCGCAGCAUCAAAUCAAGCAAGUGACAUAUAACAAGCUGAAAAUUGCUUCAGGUCAAUCGCAGCAGAACUCUCAUGGCCAUUCCUCCCCAACAAUAGAACCAGAGGUAACUCCAGUUAAUGCUACUGCAUUUUCGACGAUGGAACCCAAGUUUCAGAUCAACCCAUCAAACAGCUUCAACAUGAGACCAAUGACGCUCAUCUCUUCACAUCUUCGAUGAAUUUAACAAGACUUUCUUAGUAUAGUGAUGUGUCAUCCAACAGUUUCUCUCACAAAAACAAACACCAAUAUGCAACAAAGGUUUUCUAGUUCAUGGUGGCAAUAAAUACAAUCGUUACUCUCAUCCUCUGAUCUCAGAGCCGGAUUAUCAAACAGUUCAGGCAGAAGUCGUUUUUCACCACAAGCUCUUUGUCAACUUCCCUCUCUCGUAAUUACAAGAUCUCGCCUAAAGCUUUUCAUGAUCCC